GGUGAAAAUUGUUUGUUUCCAGGUUCGGCCUUGAAGUCGGUCUUCCCUUCCAUUCCCUUCCGCUUCGAUUUUCUUUUCCAGCGUUGCGAGCCCGAGCUCUAGUGGACGAGGAAUGUUGCAACCAAGUCUUGAGUCUUGAGCUCGUAGCUUGUUUCUAGGUUCCAUGUUCUUGGAGAUUUUAUUGGAUUGUUGAAUUGCCGAAUUCAAGGCCGUACCCGGAAACAAACGAAUUCUGUCACU
Molecule: non-coding RNA, 240 nt
Organism: Marchantia polymorpha subsp. ruderalis
Lineage: Eukaryota; Viridiplantae; Streptophyta; Marchantiopsida; Marchantiales; Marchantiaceae
Source: the annotation of a GenBank genome assembly